This is a long non-coding RNA of Terrapene triunguis (Three-toed box turtle), 220 nucleotides long. RefSeq lists it as uncharacterized. The transcript has 3 exons. The record is from RefSeq and is a predicted model, not a curated record. Lineage: Eukaryota; Metazoa; Chordata; Testudines; Emydidae.
GUGACCUCGGCCUUCAUCGACCACUUCGGCUUCAACGACGAGGAAUUCGGGGAGCAGGAGGAGAGUGUCAACGCCCCCUUCGACAGGACGGGCAGCCUGAGCUUCUCGCUGAGCGCCGACGACGACAGUCCCAACUCCAACCUGUUUGAAGUCUGCUACAAGGAGCGGAUCCAGCAGUUUGAUGAUGACGACUCGGACGGGGAGGAUGCCUGGCAGGAGA